This 259-nucleotide long non-coding RNA is filed under the name Trifolium pratense (red clover). RNAcentral describes it as "long non-coding RNA (TPRA_LNC010074)". The record is from RNAcentral. Lineage: Eukaryota; Viridiplantae; Streptophyta; Magnoliopsida; Fabales; Fabaceae.
AUCAAUUAGGACAUUUAAAAUAAGGUUUUUAUCAUUUAUGUACGUUGGAGCCUUGCAUGUGUGUUUUGCUUGUUCUAAAUCACCUAUGGUGAACCCACAAAGAAUUAAUUUCAGUCUUUGUUCCUCUUUUCUUUUCCCUCUGCCGAACCAACCCUUUUUACUUUGGCUAGGUUUUGGUUCCUUCAAUUUUGGGGCUUGUAUGUGUAAUUAUCAAAUCAAGGAUUGUUGGAUACAAAAAUGGAAGCUUAAGAGCAAGAUU